GUGAGGAGGGGUGAGGUAGGAGGGACAGAGGGUGAGGAGGGGGUGAGGUAGGAGGGACAGAGAUGGGGGAAAGGGGUGAGGAGUGAUGAGGUAGGAGGGACAGAGGGUGAGGAGGGGUGAGGGAUGGGGGUGAGGGCAGGUAGAUGUACAGACAACAUACUUUUUUUUUAAAGAGUUUCAGGUGAGAAAGAUGAGAAGAACAGGAAGUGACAGACUGGUAGGGAGUGGGAAAGAGAAGAAGGACAGGAAGUGACAGACUGGUAUGAAGAAGUAAAAGAUGAGAAGAACAGGAAGUGACAGACUGGUAUUAAGGAGUAAAAGAUGAGAAGGACAGGAAGUGACAGACUGGUAUGAAGAAGUAAAAGAGAAGAAGGAAGCACCAAUUAUAUAACAUAUACCAUCUAAGAGUUAAAUAUUACUCCAGGUUAAAGUUAACCUCCUAACCACAAAAUCUAAGAUCAGCUGUCCUCGGGUUUGAAAUAUUCCUCCUGUAAACUUUCCCAUGAAAUCUCCACUUUCACAGAAAUCCUAGAAAAUCCCCAAAAUUCUGGGAAUUUUGGGGGGAAAGUUUCCAGAUUUGUUCAACCCCUAAGGUCUUGUGACUGCCCUCCCUUACCUUCACCAAUAGAGGGCUGAAGGCAAAACUGAUCCCAGACUAGGAGUUAAGGCAGGGUUGGGUCUACCUGUUCAGUUAAAUAUAACAGGUAAGGGUUGUAAAAUUCUGGUUAACUUCCCCCCACACGCACAUUCUCACGGUUUCCAGAAAUCCUAGUUGGAAGAUUCCUGGAAUCAAGAGGAAAUCCGGAAGCCCAACCCAACCAAGAUUUCUGGGGAAACUUGGGAAUUUUACAACCCUAAGAACUGGUAUAGAAAAUAAAACCCAGAGGAAAGAGUGGAAGCUCCUCAGAGCUUCCUGGUACUGCCGAAACCACACAAACCCUCCCCCUGAGUGGCCUUAACGGGGGACAGAGAGGAGGGGGGGCGGGGUUAAAGUUCACAGUUCAAGAGUUCAAGAGCUCAAACGGGUCCCCUCCUCUUGUCGACCUUCCCCUCACCUGGAGUAGAUAAUAGCUGGUCCUCUAUUACAGGGGUGGGCGGCAACUCACAGUCCUCUAUUACAGGG
This 1123-nucleotide long non-coding RNA is filed under the name Salmo salar (Atlantic salmon). Its description in RNAcentral is "lncRNA (ENSSSAG00000093766.1)". Lineage: Eukaryota; Metazoa; Chordata; Actinopteri; Salmoniformes; Salmonidae. The record is from RNAcentral.